AAUUUUCUACAAUGGGGGAAACCCUGAUCCAGCCAUCCCGCGUGUAUGAUGAAGGACUUCGGUUUGUUCCGUACUUUUGGCUGAGAAGAAAAGGUACCUCCUAAUACGAGGUACUGCUGACGGUAUCUGCAGAAUAAUCACCUGCUAACUACGUGCCAGCAGCCGCGGUAAUACGUAGGGUGCAAGCGUUAAUCGGAAUUACUGGGCGUAAAGCGUGUGUAGGCGGUUCGGAAAGAAAGAUGUGAAAUCCCAGGGCUCAACCUUGGAACUGCAUUUUUAACUGCCGAGCUAGAGUAUGUCAGAGGGGGGUAGAAUUCCACGUGUAGCAGUGAAAUGCGUAGAUAUGUGGAGGAAUACCGAUGGCGAAGGCAGCCCCCUGGGAUAAUACUGACGCUCAGACACGAAAGCGUGGGGAGCAAAC
Molecule: ribosomal RNA, 421 nt
Filed under: uncultured bacterium
Lineage: Bacteria
Description: partial 16S ribosomal RNA
Rfam family: Bacterial small subunit ribosomal RNA
Source: RNAcentral